GAUGAACGCUAGCUACAGGCUUAACACAUGCAAGUCGAGGGGCAGCAUGAAAGGAACUUCGGUUCUUUUUGAUGGCGACCGGCGCACGGGUGCGUAACGCGUAUCGAACCUGCCUCAUACUCGGGGAUAGCCUUGCGAAAGUAAGAUUAAUACCCGGCGGUCUCGGAUGGCCGCAUGACUGUCCGAGUGAAGAUUUAUCGGUAUGAGAUGGCGAUGCGUCCCAUUAGCUUGUUGGUGAGGUAACGGCUCACCAAGGCAUCGAUGGAUAGGGGUUCUGAGAGGAAGGUCCCCCACAUUGGAACUGAGACACGGUCCAAACUCCUACGGGAGGCAGCAGUGAGGAAUAUUGGUCAAUGGACGAGAGUCUGAACCAGCCAAGUAGCGUGAAGGAUGACUGCCCUAUGGGUUGUAAACUUCUUUUAUAUGGGAAUAAAGUUUUCCACGUGUGGAAUUUUGUAUGUACCAUAUGAAUAAGGAUCGGCUAACUCCGUGCCAGCAGCCGCGGUAAUACGGAGGAUCCGAGCGUUAUCCGGAUUUAUUGGGUUUAAAGGGAGCGUAGGUGGACAGUUAAGUCAGUUGUGAAAGUUUGCGGCUCAACCGUAAAAUUGCAGUUGAUACUGGCUGUCUUGAGUACAGUAGAGGUGGGCGGAAUUCGUGGUGUAGCGGUGAAAUGCUUAGAUAUCACGAAGAACUCCGAUUGCGAAGGCAGCUCACUGGACUGCAACUGACACUGAUGCUCGAAAGUGUGGGUAUCAAACAGG
RNAcentral lists this ribosomal RNA (761 nucleotides) under uncultured bacterium. Its description in RNAcentral is "bacterial SSU rRNA". It matches the Rfam family "Bacterial small subunit ribosomal RNA", at positions 28 to 776 of the family's 1533-position model. The record is from RNAcentral.